Molecule: ribosomal RNA, 492 nt
Filed under: uncultured bacterium
Lineage: Bacteria
Description: partial 16S ribosomal RNA
Rfam family: Bacterial small subunit ribosomal RNA
Source: RNAcentral
AUUGAACGCUGGCGGCAUGCUUUACACAUGCAAGUCGAACGGUAACAGGCCUUCGGGUGCUGACGAGUGGCGCACGGGUGCGUAAUGCAUCGGAACGUGCCCAGAGGUGGGGGAUAACGCAGCGAAAGCUGUGCUAAUACCGCAUGUGAUCUGAGGAUGAAAGCGGGGGACCAAGCAGCAAUGUUUGGCCUCGCGCCUCUGGAGCGGCCGAUGUCAGAUUAGGAAGUUGGUGGGGUAAAGGCCUACCAAGCCGACGAUCUGUAGCUGGUCUGAGAGGACGACCAGACACACUGGGACUGAGACACGGCCCAGACUCCUACGGGAGGCAGCAGUGGGGAAUUUUGGACAAUGGGCGCAAGCCUGAUCCAGCAAUGCCGCGUGCGGGAAGAAGGCCUUCGGGUUGUAAACCGCUUUUGUAAGGAACGAAAAGGCUCUGGCUAAUACCUGGGGCUGAUGACGGUACCGUAAGAAUAAGCACCGGCUAACUACGUG